AAUGAACGUUGGCGGCGUGGAUUAGGCAUGCAAGUCGAGCGAUGAAGCGGUGCUUGCACCGUGGAUUAGCGGCGAAAGGGAGAGUAACGCGUAGGUAUGUACCCCCUGGUCUGGGAUAGCGGCGGGAAACUGCCGGUAAUACCGGAUAAUGUCCCCGGACCAAAGGUGUGAUUCCGCCAGGGGAGCGGCCUGCGUCCUAUUAGGUUGUUGGUGGGUAACGGCCUACCAAGCCAAAGAUGGGUACCGGGUGUGAGAGCAUGGCCCGGCUCACUGGGACUGAGACACUGCCCAGACACCUACGGGUGGCUGCAGUCGAGAAUCUUCCGCAAUGGACGAAAGUCUGACGGAGCGACGCCGCGUGCUGGAUGAAGGCCUUCGGGUUGUAAACCUCUUUCAGCUCCGACGAAGCGCGAGUGACGGUAGGAGCAGAAGAAGCACCGGCUAACUACGUG
Molecule: ribosomal RNA, 452 nt
Filed under: uncultured bacterium
Lineage: Bacteria
Description: bacterial SSU rRNA
Rfam family: Bacterial small subunit ribosomal RNA
Source: RNAcentral